RNAcentral lists this ribosomal RNA (994 nucleotides) under Rheinheimera baltica. RNAcentral's name for it is "partial 16S ribosomal RNA". Lineage: Bacteria; Pseudomonadati; Pseudomonadota; Gammaproteobacteria; Chromatiales; Chromatiaceae. The record is from RNAcentral.
GGUAGCGCCCUCCCGAAGGUUAAGCUACCUACUUCUUUUGCAACCCACUCCCAUGGUGUGACGGGCGGUGUGUACAAGGCCCGGGAACGUAUUCACCGCAACAUUCUGAUUUGCGAUUACUAGCGAUUCCGACUUCACGCAGUCGAGUUGCAGACUGCGAUCCGGACUACGAUAUGCUUUAAGAGAUCCGCUCACUGUCGCCAGCUUGCCUCCCUCUGUACAUACCAUUGUAGCACGUGUGUAGCCCUACUCGUAAGGGCCAUGAUGACUUGACAUCGUCCCCACCUUCCUCCGGUUUAUCACCGGCAGUCUCCCUAGAGUUCCCACCAUUACGUGCUGGCAACUAAGGAUAAGGGUUGCGCUCGUUGCGGGACUUAACCCAACAUUUCACAACACGAGCUGACGACAGCCAUGCAGCACCUGUCUUACGGUUCCCGAAGGCACAAACACAUCUCUGCGUUCUUCCGUAGAUGUCAAGAGUAGGUAAGGUUCUUCGCGUUGCGUCGAAUUAAACCACAUGCUCCACCGCUUGUGCGGGCCCCCGUCAAUUCAUUUGAGUUUUAAUCUUGCGACCGUACUCCCCAGGCGGUCUACUUAGUGCGUUAGCUGCGCUACUCACGGUACAAGACCACGAACAGCUAGUAGACAUCGUUUACGGCGUGGACUACCAGGGUAUCUAAUCCUGUUUGCUCCCCACGCUUUCGCACCUGAGCGUCAGUAUUGUGCCAGGGGGCCGCCUUCGCCACUGGUAUUCCUCCAAAUCUCUACGCAUUUCACCGCUACACUUGGAAUUCUACCCCCCUCUCACAUACUCUAGUUUGCCAGUUUUGAAUGCAAUUCCCAGGUUGAGCCCGGGGCUUUCACAUCCAACUUAACAAACCGCCUACGUGCGCUUUACGCCCAGUAAUUCCGAUUAACGCUUGCACCCUCCGUAUUACCGCGGCUGCUGGCACGGAGUUAGCCGGUGCUUCUUCUGCGAGUAACGUCAAAGAUA